This 71-nucleotide transfer RNA is filed under the name Ictidomys tridecemlineatus (thirteen-lined ground squirrel). Its description in RNAcentral is "Spermophilus tridecemlineatus (thirteen-lined ground squirrel) tRNA". It matches the Rfam family "tRNA". From Rfam's summary of the family: Transfer RNA (tRNA) molecules are approximately 80 nucleotides in length. Their secondary structure includes four short double-helical elements and three loops (D, anti-codon, and T loops). Lineage: Eukaryota; Metazoa; Chordata; Mammalia; Rodentia; Sciuridae. The record is from Rfam by way of RNAcentral.
GCGGUUAUGGCUCAGUGGUAGAGCGCUUGCCUAGCACGCGUGAGGCACUGGGUUCAAUUCCUGGCACCACA